AGUAAAGUGAUUUCGUGGUACUCCGUGUUAUCGCAACCAUCUUGCUAGAGAUCGCUACAGUUUCUGGAAACCAUAAUAAUCUGUGUACAUAACAGCCAUGCUUGAAACAAGCAACAUCGCUAUUUUCACAUGUGUUCUUUAUUUUUUAUUCCAAGUUCCAACAGUUUUCAUAGACAAAUCAAUAUUUUUUGUCUUAAACUUGAUUUCAAAAUAUGCACUUGCCUAAUUUGCCAGCGGAAAUUAGACAAGCGCAGGAAGAAACUGCGGUAAAAAUUUCUGCAGGAACACAUAAUUUUACUGCUAAAUAUCUAAAGGGAACUCUGAGAAGAUGCGUUUGAUAGAAAUAGACAGUCAGUCUUGCCGAGGUUUGCGCUAUGGCAAUUCUCUGAUGUUUUUUAAGCAAAAACAGAAAGUUUUGGACUUUUGUCUUUGUUUCGUGCCUAUACAUCUCCAUUAAAAUUUCCUCCAUAGACUCAUACAGUUUCUAGCACUGUCUUUAUUCUCUUCAGUGACAGUUUAACCAUUUAGUCUUUUCUCACUGGUGUGCUGGAUAAAGAAGGGUUUUUAUUUUACUUGUCCCUUGUUAUAGUACAUUAUACUUACUGUAUAUUCAGGAUUAAAUUCAGCUGGAGUCUCAAAGGAGAAGAGAUCCGUGGCGGUAAAUACUCAGAAAGGUCAACUUCUGCCACAAUUGGAAAUCUUUUGGGUUAUUCGGUAUUCCUUUUCGCCUUGUUGGUUGUAUACUUAGUGGCAACACCCCAAUUUCGGAGGCGUCUUCUACCAGAAGAAGUUCAACUUCAACUUGAACAACAAUCCCCUGGCAAUUGAUAAACAAUUCUUCUUUAUUUGUUCUUGGCCAAAUAUUUAUUGAACCUCAGUUUUUGGAAAUGAUGUGCCUUGCUGAGGAGAUCUAGAUUCACUUUUUGUUUGUAAUAUCUAUAUAAUGAGGAAAUACAUAAUUAGUGUUAGAAAUCAGAAUGUGAAUUCUCACUGAGAAUGUUGCUAAUAUUUUUAGUUGUGAAACUUGAAUGUUUAAAUUUUGUAUAUAAUUUUUAAAAUUGCUGUAUGGCUUGAUAUUUAAAAGCAUUUAGAGAAGAUAUUAUUUGUGAAAUGUUCAAGCUACAGUUUGUAUUUUAAUCAAACUUUAUUUUAAUAAUUCUUUAACACCAUUGCAGUAUUUUUAUUGGAUGCAUAUACAGAUUGUUCUCUAUAUUUUUACUAUUUUGGAUAUUUUUUUUUAUCUUUUAUUACUCAUUAGUGAUGCAAUCCUUACCAUGACUUUGCGACUUUGUGAAAGCAAUAAGUUUUUCAUAUUAGUUUUUUCUUAUCUAUUUUAUAAACUAAGUUUUUAUUUUUUGAGGAAGCAGUUGUAUUACUUGGAAAACUGUUCAUAGAACGGGCAUAAGUUGUGAUAAAUUUAGGUAGAAAAGCAAUCUUAUUUUGGCAUAAGUUUUAAAUCUAAUGUUAUUAUUUUGUCUAGUUUCUUAUUUUACAUUGGCAUAUUUCUCUUCCAUUCAGUCAUGAUAUUUAUAAUUAGAAGUGGAUAAAGAGUGUCUGAGACAACAAUGAGACAAUCAUAUUAACUAAAUGUUAGUCAAUGAAAAUAAGAUGCAAAAUUUUUAAGUUGUCAUUGUAACAGUGAUUCAUUUCUAUCAAAAGGAUAACAAUGUCAUUUAAAUGCUAGAACCAUUAAUAAAGUGGCAGCUUACUUAAAGUAAACUUUUAAGGAAAAAAUAGUUUGCUUUUAAAUUUGCAAUGACCAAAGGAGAAUUCCUGUGUUCAAGCAUUACAAAAACAAUCAAAUUGGGUGGGGGUGGAGAAGCUGUAUUGAAUUUGAAAAUAGCGUAAAGAGCAUGGGCAUUAUUGGUGAUGUUAAAUAAAAUCUUGGAAAAAGAAGAAAAAUCCAAAAAAUUUUUCAUCCAAAAAAGAAGCAAAUAAGGUUAUGAAAAUCUUCAAGUUUGUUGACAAAUAAAGUAUUUUUAUCUGUCAAAUUGCUUGAAAUUUGAUGAUAUCAAAAUCAAUUAUUCAUUGAGUUAGAGAAGAUUUAGGCUUAAAAUCUUAAAAUGCCAGUUAAAAAGUACAAAAAGCUGAUUUCGAAUAAAAGAAGCCUUGAUUCUGCAACUUAAAAAAACUGAUCAUAAAUGUUAAAUUGUAUUUUAUGUUUAAUCCUAAUUUGAGUGGUGGCAUUAAAUAUUAACCAUUCAGCAUUUCCCUAACUCUGUUUCUGUGCUCUUCAGAAUGAAAUCUAAAGGAAAAUAAUUUUAUGACAUGCCAUAUACAAAAAGAGCAAUGCUUCUUGAUGAGUCUAUCAAACAGCUCCUUUUAUCUAAACAGUGCAUUAAAAGAUUUUUGAUUCUUUUCACCAAUCAUCAUUAUCAAAAUUAAAGUAUUUUAUUGUGGCAGGCUUAAUUACCACAGACGAAGGGAGAGGGGCAAGGGGGGACAUCAUCCAGAGGGAGGGUACCAAAUUGAUGUUGUGAGUUUUUAAAUAAAAUGAUUUCCCUUCUUGGUAAACAGGAGGGGGCACAAAAUUUUCAAUUGUCCCCAGGCACAGUAAACCCUAACUACAGCUCUGUUAGUUACCAGCCACUAUUUGAAAAUCCAGAAAAUUGAUUUUGUGUCUAUUUAAUAAUGUCCCUAAUAAACCCUAAGCUAGAAGUAUUGAAAGAUUUGGAAGCAUUGAUAAAAGCAAGUACUGCAAUGAGAAAGAGAACUCAAAAACUUAUUUCUGUUCAAGAGAAUAUACUUUUGACUUUUAAAGUAAAUUUCUGAAGAAGCAGUACAAGGAUGCAUAUUUUCAUAAGAUAGGUCCAGAAGGAAUUCUUGCAGUAAUUUAAAUGUGCAUAUCAAAAAUAAUUAAUUGGAUAAUAUUCUGAUGUAUGUUGUGAUUUAAUCUGAAAGGUAAAUGUUCAAUUUUAAAACUAUCAAAUUUGUCUCAUUCUAAUUCAGAACAUUCUUUAUUUAUAGAAAAAUUAAAAAUACUUAUAAACUAAAUAUUUUUCUUUUUAAAUUUAAGUAUAUAUUUUCUUCAGCAAAAUAAUUAUUUCCCUGUUGAUGUCACUGCAUAGUGUAUAAUUACAUACUGAGAUUCUGAAAGCAUCAACAGUUAUGUAUACAAACAUAAAAGUGAAAUUUAUUGAGGGAAGCAUAUUUGUUCAGCAGGGCACAUCAGACAGUGUCUGUUUCUUUGAAGGUUGUAAUUUGUAAGCUUCAAUUGUGGUGCUUUCUGUCUUACAUUAACCUGCUAUAAAUGUUAACUGUAUAAAGAAUUUCAAAUCUUCUC
Long non-coding RNA from Stegodyphus dumicola, 3283 nucleotides. The record is from RefSeq and is a predicted model, not a curated record. NCBI's taxonomy places the organism in Eukaryota, Metazoa, Arthropoda, Arachnida, Araneae, Eresidae.